GACGGGGGGUGCAGGCGAUAUCCGGAAUCACUGGGCGUAAAGCGUCUGAAGGUGGUGAUGCAAGUAACUGGUGCAAAACUCUGGCUCAACCGGAGGAAAGCCAGUGAAACUGCAUGACUAGAGUGUGGGAGAGGUAGAAGGAAUUCCCUGAGUAGCGGUGAAAUGCGUAGAUACAGGGAAGAACACCGGAGGCGAAAGCGUUAUACGGGAACACAAUUGACACUGCGAGACGUAAGCUAGGGGAGCGCAUGGG
Molecule: ribosomal RNA, 253 nt
Filed under: uncultured bacterium
Lineage: Bacteria
Description: partial 16S ribosomal RNA
Rfam family: Bacterial small subunit ribosomal RNA
Source: RNAcentral